AAACGCUCAUUCUCUUCUAAAUCCCAAAUCCUAAUCUUCUUCUUUCUUUUUUUUUCUAUUUUUUUUCUCUUAGCACUAUUUAUUUUUUCCGACACCUCUCGUCAACAACGUAACGGUUCUCGGUGGCCGUUGUCGACGCCAUCGCUAAUCUCUUCCAUCCUCCGCCGUCAGAUUUACCUCUACUCCUCUCCGUUCGAAUUCACACUAUCCUUUCCUUUUUUUUCUCUUUCUCUUUCUCCACCGCAACACACUCAACUCUAGGCAAGGAGAAAGAAAAGACCGAAGCUCUUGGGGAGGUGUUGAAUGGCGAUCACCUUGUUAGUACUCCUUAUUUAAUUUCCGAUUAGAGAAAGACGCCAAGCUUGUAUGUAUUGGUGAAUGCUUGUGAGAAGCUUAGAAUAUCAUGGAAAUUACCAAUGGUGUAUCCUCAAAGUGGAGAAUCUAUUGCUCAACUUCUUUAAUGUAUCAUGUGAGAUGGUUCAACAUUAUCAGGUGAUAAAAACUGUUUUUGUUUACCAUCAAGCUAAAAUCGUUUGUCUUGAUGUGUAUGAACUUUUAGGAACUAAUUUUCUGAUAUGCAAUGUAAUGAUUUGUCUUC
Molecule: long non-coding RNA, 598 nt
Organism: Vigna unguiculata (cowpea)
Lineage: Eukaryota; Viridiplantae; Streptophyta; Magnoliopsida; Fabales; Fabaceae
Source: RefSeq, a predicted model, not a curated record